UUUUGCUACCUGAAAACUGUUUUAGCCUGUGCGUCCACAUUCCACAACAUGUAAAAAUCAUGCAUAGUAGAACUUCUUGAUUUCUUGGAUGACUAAAGUUAGCAUGAAGCUAAAUGGCACAAAACCAAAUCAGAGUGGAAUUUAGAGAUGUUUGAGUAGCGCAAGUUUUUGUUUUUCAGGUUUGUGAGUACAAAAUAGUCUAUUUUAAUCAAAGUGAAAUUUUAAGAUGUUUGAGUAGUGUCUUUUUUGCUUUUCUUUUUUUAGUUUAUGAGUACAAAAUAGCAUGUUUGUUAUCCCGUUGCAACGCACGGACAUUUUGCUAAAAAAAACUAAUUGACCGGCUCCAUUGCCAUAUAGUCCGUCCCUUGAUGCCAAUAAAGAGAGAAUUUCAUAUUUGCCAUUGAGAGUUUGCCCGUAUGCCCAAAUGCCACUGAA
RNAcentral lists this long non-coding RNA (435 nucleotides) under Brachypodium distachyon (stiff brome). RNAcentral's name for it is "long non-coding RNA (BDIS_LNC000346)". Lineage: Eukaryota; Viridiplantae; Streptophyta; Magnoliopsida; Poales; Poaceae. The record is from RNAcentral.